GGCAGUGUGGUGUAGUGGUUUGAGUGUUGGACUAUGAUUCUGCAAACCAGGGUUUCAAUCCCUGCUCAGCCA
RNAcentral lists this transfer RNA (72 nucleotides) under Phrynosoma platyrhinos (Desert horned lizard). RNAcentral describes it as "tRNA-OTHER". It matches the Rfam family "tRNA". Rfam says of the family: Transfer RNA (tRNA) molecules are approximately 80 nucleotides in length. Lineage: Eukaryota; Metazoa; Chordata; Lepidosauria; Squamata; Phrynosomatidae. The record is from RNAcentral.